Molecule: unclassified non-coding RNA, 340 nt
Filed under: uncultured fungus
Lineage: Eukaryota; Fungi
Description: sequence contains ITS1
Rfam family: 5.8S ribosomal RNA (bases 1-103)
Source: RNAcentral
GAAGUGCGAUAAGCAAUGCGAAUUGCAGAACCGUGAGUCAUCAGAUUUUUGAACGCAACUGGCGCCGACUGGCUCUCCAGUCGGCAUGCUUGUUUCAGUGUCUCGUUCUCUCCUCACCCAAACUUUAAUGCGAGAGAUACCCUUCUCUUGUUAAGUAAGAAAGCACUCUGUUCUUUGCAAGUGAUCUCAGUUUAGGCUGAGGGUCACACUCAAUGCAGCAGUCACAUUUUUAUAGUGUGAACUCAUUGAGAGUAGAGACAGCUCAAGCUUGCUUGUAAGUGCUUAGUUCCUCAAACUUUAAUUGCAUCUGAAAUCAAGCAGGACCACCCGCUGAACUUAA